GAGACCCGCACCUUUAGUUGCCAGCAAGAGGCUUCGGUCUCGAUGGGAACGCUAAAGGGACCGCCACCUUAUAGGUGGAGGAAGGAGCGAGCCACGGCAGGUCAGUAUGCCCCGAAUCCCCCGGGCCACACGCGGGCUGCAAUGGUAUGGACAGUGGGAUGCAACUCCGAAAGGAGAAGCUAAUCUCUAAACCAUAUCUCAGUUGGAAUUGUCGGCUGAAACUCGCCGACAUGAACGUGGAAUCCCUAGUAAUCGCGUGUCAUCAUCGCGCGGUGAAUAC
This 280-nucleotide ribosomal RNA is filed under the name uncultured archaeon. RNAcentral's name for it is "partial 16S rRNA". It matches the Rfam family "Archaeal small subunit ribosomal RNA", at positions 1047 to 1325 of the family's 1478-position model. The record is from RNAcentral.